UUGUUUGGAGAGUUUGAUUCUGGCUCAGGACGAACGCUGGCGGCGUGCUUAACACAUGCAAGUCGAACGGAAAGGCCCUUCGGGGUACUCGAGUGGCGAACGGG
Molecule: ribosomal RNA, 104 nt
Filed under: Mycolicibacterium septicum DSM 44393
Lineage: Bacteria; Bacillati; Actinomycetota; Actinomycetes; Mycobacteriales; Mycobacteriaceae
Description: partial 16S ribosomal RNA
Rfam family: Bacterial small subunit ribosomal RNA
Source: RNAcentral